UCCAGCCAAGGUGACAGCUCAUAAAAGUUGGAAACUUGGAGUACUCUGCACAGCCUGCAGGCAGCUCAGCAGGCUGGAGAAUGUCCUUUCCAAGCUGUUCGAAAGGAGAGCCCAAAUCAAGUCCAACUCUUGUUUCCUCUGUAAUUGAUCCAACAUGCUGAAGAGAGCAAGCCCGGAAGAGGAAUUGCUGUGGAGGGAGAGACAGCCACUGUGCACAACUGAGCUACUGUGCACCUCCUGGGACACAGAGAUGUGCUUGCUUCUGCUUAAUAAUGGAAAAAGCCAUCUCAUCCACAGCUACGCUGGCUCACAUGAAGAAAUAUGGCUGGCAUAUGCCCCGUAAACAGCCCAGUCUUCUGCAACCGAGAGGAGCCGGCAGCACGCAUGACUAAUGGCCGUUUAAAGCCUCCUGAUGCACAGGGAUCAAAUUAAGACGCAGCGCUACGGCAGCACAACAAAUGCACAUAAAAUACACAAAUGUGACCAAUCCGCAGCAUCAACUAUCAAGACUUCAUCCUAAAAGGAGAAGACAUAAAAUAACCUGCUCGGAUGUACAUCCCAGGAUCCCUAGAGACUCUCUCCCGCCUUUUGCCUGGAAGAACCCGCUCAACCUUGCUCUUCCCACUGGCCACCAGGAGACGAUUUCCUGGUGUUUGAAGCAGACGGCUCCGACGGAGAUCUGAAAGUCCGCGUCUGUCCAUUUUGCUUUCAACCUCUGAAGGAAUCUUCUAUUUCUGACACUGCCUCAGGUCUGACCACAGGCCGCAGGGGGAAAGGGUCUGGCAGCUCUUCUGGACUGGUCACUGCGCAGCUGGAAGGACAGCGCUUAGACCAGCCAAUGUGGCUUUACUAAGUCGUGAUUCCAGCUCCUGGUGGGAAAGAGUCAGCUGAGCCCAAUACUUUGAUGCAAUCAAUCUUUUUCUCUUUUAUUGAAAAUAGAUUAUUUUCUCACAUAA
This is a long non-coding RNA of Mus caroli (Ryukyu mouse), 956 nucleotides long. RefSeq lists it as uncharacterized. NCBI's taxonomy places the organism in Eukaryota, Metazoa, Chordata, Mammalia, Rodentia, Muridae. The record is from RefSeq and is a predicted model, not a curated record.